Long non-coding RNA from Patella vulgata (common limpet), 131 nucleotides. RefSeq lists it as uncharacterized. The record is from RefSeq and is a predicted model, not a curated record. NCBI's taxonomy places the organism in Eukaryota, Metazoa, Mollusca, Gastropoda, Patellidae. The transcript is spliced from 3 exons.
GUACCGUGUAAUACUACCGCUGACUGUAGUGGUAAUCCAUGCAUCGACGGUUUCUGCUCUGCCCCAGCAUGUGGAGAACCAUUCUGCCACAAUUGAAAAGGCUAUUGACCGGAAUGCAAAAAUAAACAGAC